Molecule: long non-coding RNA, 6350 nt
Filed under: Brassica napus (rape)
Lineage: Eukaryota; Viridiplantae; Streptophyta; Magnoliopsida; Brassicales; Brassicaceae
Description: long non-coding RNA (BNAP_LNC002277)
Source: RNAcentral
CUGAGUCGUCUCCCAAUGCGAAGGAAACAAACGAUCUAGAAUCCGAGAGUGUAGUUAGAACAACAAAAAUGGCGUGGCAAAAGGAGAAGAUCGUCGGAAGCUGCUUCGCCGUCGGAGCCGCCUUCGCCGUCGGAGCUUCCUUCCUCCACCUCUUCCUCAAAGGCGAGCUCCCCUUAGGCUUAGGCCUAGGUCUACCCUUCGCUCCCUUCAGGAAACGAAAGCCAGUCCGCGUCUACAUGGACGGAUGCUUCGACAUGAUGCACUACGGCCACUGCAACGCGCUCCGGCAGGCGCGUGCUCUCGGCGACGAAUUGGUCGUCGGCGUCGUCAGCGACGAGGAGAUCAUAGCUAAUAAAGGACCUCCCGUUACGCCUCUUCACGAGAGGUGAUGAUGAUCUCUCUCUCUCUCUUUUGAUUCUUUGUUAUCGCUUUAUUGUGUUUGUUCUGAUUUUGUGUGUGUGUUAGGAUGAUAAUGGUGAAGGCUGUUAAGUGGGUGGAUGAGGUUAUUCCCGAUGCUCCUUACGCGAUCACGGAGGAGUUCAUGAAGAGGUUGUUUGAUGAGUAUCAGAUUGAUUACAUUAUCCAUGGGGAUGAUCCUUGCGUUCUUCCUGAUGGAACUGAUGCUUAUGCCUUGGCUAAGAAGGCUGGGAGGUAUAAGCAGAUCAAGCGUACUGAAGGAGUUUCCAGCACUGAUAUCGUUGGUAAAAACUUACAUCGUCCCUUGUUGUUUAGACGAAAGGUUUCGUUUUUUUUAAUGUGUUAAGGGGAGAUACGAGCUGCAUUUCAUGUUUAUGUUAUUAAGUGUUCUUGAUAGGUUUGACCAAUCACAUAAAGAUUAUAACUUUGUUCGAAUUUGUGCAGGUCGCAUGCUUCUCUGUGUAAGAGAGAGAUCGAACAGUCAGAGUCAUUCGUCUCUGCAGAGGCAGUUUAGCCAUGGCCAUAAUAGCCCAAGGUUUGAGGACGGAGCUUCUUCUGCUGGUGGUACUCGCGUCUCACAUUUUCUUCCUACUUCCCGCAGGAUCGUUCAGUUCUCCAAUGGCAAGGUGUGUGGAGUCUUAAAGAGUCUUCUUUUCUUUGUGUUUCUACCUGUUUAGCUUACUCAGGCAAAUAACUUAGAUCUUUGGAGUUUUGUAGAUCUAUAUUUUGCUUUAUGGUAUAGUGGGUUGAACAGGUGCAUGACUCUUGACUUCUAAUAGCUAUGCAAGUGGUUCUUGGCUCUCUUUUUCAGCUGUUUUAAUCAUUAAAGAGAAUGGAUAGCAUCUUUUUGAUAACAUUGUCUGGUUCUUGCUUUCUGAAACAUAAUUAGUUAAUCCUUUCUAUGACCAUUUAACCAAACAUUGGGUACUUCUUAUGUGUGUUAUCUAUAAUUUUCCUAUUGAGUGACACAAGGUUGCUUCACAUCUUAUUUUUAUCGCUUGUGUCAAUUUAUGUCCGCUAGAUUUUAAGAUAUUCCUCGAUUGAUUUAGUUUUCUCCAUAUCAUUUUGUAUAAUGGGUUAAUCAAACGUGCAUGCUUAUGGUGACAGGGGCCAGGGCCUGGUGCACGCAUAAUUUACAUAGAUGGUGCGUUUGAUCUUUUCCAUGCUGGCCAUGUUGAGGUAUAGUAAGUUAAAUUGUUGCAGACAAAAUAUUACUGAGCGACCCUCCGUUUUAAUUCACCAAUGUUGAUGAUACCUGUUCUUGAUUAUUCAAUACUUACAGAUUCUCAGGCGUGCUCGAGAGCUGGGAGACUUUCUUCUUGUUGGAAUACAUAAUGACCAGACUGUCAGGUUAGAAAAGGCUCAUCUUUAGCAGAUUGAUUGAUAGUGAUUGUCUCAGUUUUUGUUUCGUUUAUCUUUGUCUUUUCCUUUCCUGGCAAUUGUGAUGGUGGCUAAUCAAAUUUAAUUGGUAAUAUGAGUGUUGACCAAAAAAAUGGUGAUGUUAGUUUUAGGCAUAAAUAAAUACUUCUUGUCCCCAUUCUGGUUUAGAUUUGCAUAAUUGCAUCUCUGCUUAAAUUCGUUGGACCAGACCAAACUGUGCUUGUUAUACGUUGAUGUGCAGUGGUAAAAGAGGAGCGCAACACCCAAUCAUGAAUCUCCAUGAAAGAAGCUUAAGUGUUCUGGCAUGCCGCUAUGUAGAUGAGGUGAUAAUUGGUGCUCCAUGGGAAGUGUCAAAAGAUACGGUGAGAUUCUCUGCUCUUUACUUAACAACGCCCAAAUGGCUUUCGUGAAAAGCUAAUUUUGACAAUGAUUUGGAUAUUGCAGAUCACGACGUUUGACAUUUGGAAAGUGGUUCAUGGGACAGUAGCCGAGAGCGAUGAUUUUCAAAAGGUAAAACGAGAUUUAUACAAGGUAGAAUACAAAGAGCUGGAUUUGCUCAAGAUUCUUGUUGAAUGAUUUGACAGGAGGAAGGUAACCCGUAUGCUGUACCAAAAAGCAUGGGCAUAUUCGAAGUACUAGAAAGCCCUCUUGAUAUCUCAACCUCCACCAUAAUCAAGAGGAUUGUAGCAAACCAUGAAGCUUAUCAGGCAAGUUUAUCUUCUUCUUCUUCUUUUUUUUAUCGUUCCUCUUGUUGCUUCACUCUGGCCAAUGUCUCAGUCAAUGUCUUUGUGUGUGAAUACAGAAACGUAAUUUGAAAAAGGAAGCUAGUGAGAAGAAGUACUAUGAGCAGAAGUCUUUUGUGACCGGUGACUAAAUAGAAUGAGAAGCUAUAUAUUUUAGAAGACAAAAACCAUCUUCAGGAUGUGAAUCCCUUAUUUCUUUGUACUGGCUAUAGUACCUUACAUAUUACAUUUUGAAUUCUCUAGUUCAUACUUUACAUAGGGCAUUGAUGGUUGUAGUACCAUUUGCUUCUUUGUAUUUUCUUCAAUUUUGGGAUGUUUCAUUAUAUUUUUUUGACUUUCGCUCAAUCAAAUUACAAUGAUUAUGAACUUGAAUUUUAUUAGCUUACAGGCACAUAAUCAUACAAGCAUCAAUGAGUUAGAGCACUUUGGUUUUGUUAAAGAGUCUCUCAAUAGCAAACCACACAGUAAUUCUAGUUAAAAAUAUUGUUUCAAUAAGACAACUGAAGAAAGAGUCUUGCAAUUAACAUUGCUCCUCAGUCUCAGGCAUUGCAGUUAACUUUCUUCUGUUGGAAAUAACUGAGAAGCAAUCUCCAGAGCUCCCCACAUAGGCGCAUCAUUCUUUUUAGACCCACAAAGAAACAACAAAAUCUCUGUUUUAGCAAAAAAAAAAUCAGGCGAUUCAGAUAAAUCCAUAAUGUUCAAACAUAGAAUGUGUAUGUGACUUACAAGAUAAACGAUAUCAAAGGCCUUACGGUAGCUUUCAAGACUCUUCUCAACGUUAUCAUUCCUGAAAACAAACAAAAAGCUGUGAGAGGAGAUAAAAGAACGGAGCAAAAAAAAUAUACAAAAGAAAACACUCACAGGAAUCCAAUAGAUAUUCGAGUGUCGUAAUUCAAACCAUCAGACAUCCUCAGAUCCCCCAUAUGGUCUCCUAGAAGCAAAACGUUUGUUCUUUGUUUCACGUACGCAUUCUCUUCUCCUUCCCCACCAUUGUCAACACCGAGGUUGUUUACAAGAUGGGGAGUCACAUAACGCAUGUGAGAGACGACGUUAGUUGGCCAAUUAUACAGAAAAUAAACUAAUUGUAACUUCUUUAGUUUUUGCAAGUUCAUUUACCAGCAACAAUACCAGUGGAAGUAUGGCGCGUUUCAUAUGCCACUGAUUCUUUUUUCUUUCCACUGGAAUAAAAAUAAAGAAGUUACAAUUAGUUUAUUUCCUGUAUAAAAAUGAAAUACUAAAGCAUGCAUAUGUAAGCAAUAAAAAUAAUUAAAGACAUAAUUGUGCAAAUAGUGAAAAGGAAGCGGUGGUUGGAAUCCUAAAAGAAGCAAUAUCAUGGAAAGAGUACAAGGACCAUAGAAAGUUAGAAACUAAACUAAAAAUUGUCGAUUAGAAUUUGAAAUAAAAAAUUAGCAAAAUAAAGUGAAGAAACAUUCAUUCAUCAUCAAAGCGUUACAGAAAAAAUCUUAACUAACUCGGUUCCCGCAAGGACUGAAAGCACACCAUCAUACCACUCAAGUUUCCCCCAACAGUCUCCUUUGUCUUUUUUAAGCGCUAUCACGGCACAAUAUAUGGUCUCCAUGUGAGACACAAGAAUAUUAGAUUUUCUACUCCAGAAAACCAGCAUCUUUCCAACACCAUAAGCCGUUAAUUUAACAUAAGAACCAUAACCAGAAAAACGACGAGGCAACUUAGGUAGUCCUACCAAACCCUUCAAAUCUCUCCACCUUGUCUUGUCGGUGUCAUACCAUCUCAGAGCUCCUUCUUUAGAAACAGAGUAGAGAACAUUAUCAAUCUCGCAGUAAGAUUCCGAAUACUUAAUUUCACCCACACUUGGAUCUAUUUCAACCAGCUGGUCCCAUUUACCUUGCUUUGAAUUGAAAGCAAACACCCAACCAAAUAUAUUAACCGCGUGGAGAUUUCCGUUAAAAUUAAAAAGGUGACUGGCUUGGUCCAAUACACAACAAGGGAUAUCCCAAGUUUGCGUAUUUGUGUUGAAUACCUGGAGCAAGCUCUUCCAGGAAGCAUAUUGAUGGUAGCGUCGUCCUAGUACAAAUAUAUUUCGAUCAAGGACAAUGGCAGAAAGUGACCCUAGCUCCAUUGGCAUGCUGGGAGCCUUACGCCACAUGUGAGACUUGCAAUCAAGAAUCGAGACACUAGAGGUGGGCGUGGUUUUAUCUGCUUGGCCAAUGUUGUAGAUAUCAGAACCAACAGCCACAAGAUCUGAAUAACCAAAACCCAAACCCGCCACACGAGGAGAAUCAUCACCGGGCAUUGGGACGCUAGCCAAAACAUAGCCGCCACUACUCUUACUCUUGGAGGAGAGGGUGUACCACUUAUAAGAACCCAUCCCGAACCUCAAGCACACAUAGAGACAACUCUCCGUGAGGCCCAAGACUGACCUGACCUUGUAAAGCUCAGGUGAAACCACCAUAGAUCGAAAGCUCUUGGAGACUAGUGACAGAGUCCGAUAGUACAAUAUUGGAACGCGUGCCACGAUCAUCACUAGCAAAUCGUCCGGAAGUGACAAAGAUGCCAAUAUCACAUCAUCGGAUGUGUAUGGAGUUGCCUUCUUCUUCUUCUUCUUCGCCCUAGUACUCGUAGUCGUUGUCUUCCUCUUCAAUACGAACUCUCCCUUGUUCAACCUCUCCAUCUCUUAGGUAAGGUAACAAGAAAUUGUAAUGAAACCGAUAGAUAGUACUCUUCUAAGUGCUAUAAAGCUCUGGUUGCAAUUGCAAAUAUAAUUCAAUCAUAAAGUGGUUUUUUACAAAGACCUAAGGUGUCUCUAUAUAUACUAAGCGACUAAAAGAUCCUAAUUCUAAUAUCUAAAGUAAUAAUCUCUAUAGGAUUUAUAAUUAUCUUUAUGAAAACAUAACUAUGAUAAAAGGAAAAUAGAAGCUACGCUGCAUUAAGGUGAAACAUACCUAUGAAAACCGUUUGGUUUUAUUUUGAAAACAUAACUAUGAUAAAAAAAAAAAAGGAAAAUAGAAGCUACGCUGCAUUAAGGUGAAACAUAACUACACUCUUUUCCAUCUAGUUACGCUCUUUUCCAUGUAGUAACGGUUUUUAUCAGUUUUAGAAGUUGAAACCAAAUAAUGGAGCAAUUAAUGCAAAAUCUAUAAAAAAAUAAAAAUACAUAACCUCAAAAAUAAAAUAAUAGACAAAUAUUUAAUAUAAAAUCAUAUAAGUUACUUAAGUGAUUUUUGAUUAGGUGUUAUUGUGAAUUUUAGAAUUAAUUUUCUUAAUUUUAUUGGUUGUUGGUAUUUGAAUUUUCAUUUAUUUAAUUAAAAUUUUAAAAAUAAUAUUAAUUCUAGAACUAUCUAAUCUACAUUACCGUACAAACAAUUAAAAAAGAUAUAAGAAUUACCCAAACCAUAUCCAAUUUCAAUUCGGUUAAGGCGGUUCCAGCUCCAGAGAAAAGAAAAAAGAAUAAAACACGAUUCCGAAUCCAAAUCUCCAUUUUCAAAGAGAGAGAAGAAGAAACAUCUCCAUUCUCCGAGAGAGAGAGAGAGAGAGAUCUGAGUCGUCUCCCAAUGCGAAGGAAACAAACGAUCUAGAAUCCGAGAGUGUAGUUAGAACAACAAAAAUGGCGUGGCAAAAGGAGAAGAUCGUCGGAAGCUGCUUCGCCGUCGGAGCCGCCUUCGCCGUCGGAGCUUCCUUCCUCCACCUCUUCCUCAAAGGCGAGCUCCCCUUAGGCUUAGGCCUAGGUCUACCCUUCGCUCCCUUCAGGAAACGAAAGCCAGUCCGCGUCUACAUGGACGGAUGCUUCGACAUGAUGCACUACGGCCACUGCAACGCGCUCCGGCAGGCGCG